Molecule: ribosomal RNA, 500 nt
Filed under: uncultured bacterium
Lineage: Bacteria
Description: partial 16S ribosomal RNA
Rfam family: Bacterial small subunit ribosomal RNA
Source: RNAcentral
AUUGAACGCUGGCGGCAUGCCUUACACAUGCAAGUCGAACGGCAGCACGGGAGCAAUCCUGGUGGCGAGUGGCGAACGGGUGAGUAAAGUAUCGGAACGUGCCCAGUCGUGGGGGAUAACGUAGCGAAAGUUACGCUAAUACCGCAUACGAUCUAUGGAUGAAAGCGGGGGAUCGCAAGAACUUGCGCGAUUGGAGCGGCCGAUAUCAGAUUAGGUAGUUGGUGGGGUAAAGGCUCACCAAGCCGACGAUCUGUAGCUGGUCUGAGAGGACGACCAGCCACACUGGGACUGAGACACGGCCCAGACUCCUACGGGAGGCAGCAGUGGGGAAUUUUGGACAAUGGGCGAAAGCCUGAUCCAGCCAUGCCGCGUGUAGGAUGAAGGCCUUCGGGUUGUAAACUGCUUUUGUACGGAACGAAAAGGUUUGGCCUAAUAAGCUGAGCUCAUGACGGUACCGUAAGAAUAAGCACCGGCUAACUACGUGCCAGCCGCCGCAGUAA